GCCAAGCCAAGUGGCUGAAAAGAUUUGUGUUGAUAAGAUAACGACAACCACCACCUUGCCGAGACUACACGGUAAGUCUCUCUCCCCAUGUUAGAUUCCUGCCUCUCCCUCACGUUAGUUCCUCUUUAUCCUAAUGUCAAAAUACACUCACCGUAGCCCUCCUCCGCACAGUCACCGUGAAACCCACUGCACGAACACCACUAGCUGUGCGCUAUCACCCCAAAGCCAAGCCAACCAAUGUCGCACCACCCCUUCCUCUCCACACCCCCACGAACGAUAGCCAAAAACACCCCUGUUUAGCACACACAAAAACAGAGCACUGGGUUCUCCAGUCUUGAGCCACCGACGAAAGCCACACCGCACGUCCUCUUCCUCUCCUUCGGUGACUCUCUCUCUAUACCUCUCGGCCAAACUCUCUGAUCUUCCUCCGUUGUACAUGCUGGUAGUGCACCCAAUGUGUCUUCCUUAUGUAUGGAUUCCACAACCCACGGCCACCAGCAAAAUCAGAAUCUGCUUGGAUUCGCUAAUAUUAACUCACGGGGGUCAACAGUGGAUACCGGCCUAUGAUAAGUGAAAGACAACUUCAUGUUCAUGUUAUUUAUGUAUGUAUUUAUAAGUAUGCAUAUUUUCAAGGAGGCCUUAUGUUUAUUAUGUUUACUGCAAUAAUGUGUUGUUUAUUAAAUAUUCGACUAAUUUUUUUUUUUUUUUUUUAUGUUAUAACCACCCCGGGUGAUAAUCUUUAUGAGGAUGGGACUGCAUGAAAGGACUUGACCCCAAAAGGGGAGGCAGAGGCCUAGAUAGAUUAUGUUAUGAUUAGUUUUAUGAUUUUAGUUUAAUAAUUUAUUUUGAUAAGCACAUGAGAUUUUAAUGAUUUUAAAUAAGUGCUUCUGCAGAUUCUAUUUUAGAUUUUAAGUUUUUAAUAAAGAUAUAAGUUAUUUAUUUAUAAGAAUUCUUUGGUAUCUAGUGCUUCAUUAGAAGAAAAGUUUUUAAGUUCAAGUUUAAUAGCUCGCUGAUUUCCGAAAAUUCUAAAAAUGACUUUAUUAAGUAGUGGGGUGUUAUAUUUGUUAUCAGUUCCACAUUUGUAAGCCAGCUUUUAACUUUUGGAGAGGUUGUUUCUUGCUUCAAUUCAACCGCAAUGAUUGAUUGUUAGAAACUCCAACUCUUUUGUCAUGUAGUUUCUAUAAAUGAUUUUUGAGAGUUUCCA
This is a long non-coding RNA of Carya illinoinensis, 1204 nucleotides long. RefSeq lists it as uncharacterized. Lineage: Eukaryota; Viridiplantae; Streptophyta; Magnoliopsida; Fagales; Juglandaceae. The record is from RefSeq and is a predicted model, not a curated record. The transcript has 2 exons.